AGUGAACGCUGGCGGUAGGCCUAACACAUGCAAGUCGAACGGCAGCACAGUAAGAGCUUGCUCUUACGGGUGGCGAGUGGCGGACGGGUGAGGAAUACAUCGGAAUCUACUUUUUCGUGGGGGAUAACGUAGGGAAACUUACGCUAAUACCGCAUACGACCUACGGGUGAAAGCAGGAGAUCUUCGGACCUUGCGCGAUUGAAUUAGCCGAUGUCGGAUUAGCUAGUUGGCGUGGUAAAGGCCCACCAAGGCGACGAUCCGUAGCUGGUCUGAGAGGAUGAUCAGCCACACUGGAACUGAGACACGGUCCAGACUCCUACGGGAGGCAGCAGUGGGGAAUAUUGGACAAUGGGCGCAAGCCUGAUCCAGCCAUACCGCGUGGGUGAAGAAGGCCUUCGGGUUGUAAAGCCCUUUUGUUGGGAAAGAAAAGCAGCAGGUUAAUACCCCGCUGUUCUGACGGUACCCAAAGAAUAAGCACCGGCUAACUUCGUG
Molecule: ribosomal RNA, 492 nt
Filed under: uncultured bacterium
Lineage: Bacteria
Description: partial 16S ribosomal RNA
Rfam family: Bacterial small subunit ribosomal RNA
Source: RNAcentral